This 258-nucleotide long non-coding RNA is filed under the name Monodelphis domestica (gray short-tailed opossum). RNAcentral's name for it is "lncRNA (ENSMODG00000032116.2)". Lineage: Eukaryota; Metazoa; Chordata; Mammalia; Didelphimorphia; Didelphidae. The record is from RNAcentral.
AUGAAGAAAUGCAUUUUUUUAUUUGUUUGUUUGUUUUUUUUGCUUUUCAGAAAAAGUGCUCUCUUGAUGUACAGAAUUACUUCAAACAAAACAUUUUAAGAUUAUUGAAUUGGGAGAAAGUAUAUGUCAGCAUCUCCUAUCCUCCAGUAAGACCCAAGAGUUGGAAAGGACCUCAGAGAGCAUCUAAUUCUGUAAUUUCUUUAUUCUUUAAUUUUACACUUAGGGGAAUGGAGGCUUAGGGAGAUGAGAUGAUUUGCU